Molecule: ribosomal RNA, 302 nt
Filed under: uncultured bacterium
Lineage: Bacteria
Description: partial 16S ribosomal RNA
Rfam family: Bacterial small subunit ribosomal RNA (bases 241-302)
Source: RNAcentral
GGAGGCUAUAACUAGCCUCCUCCGGGAGACCUGAAAAAGCAAAGCAGGGAAAGCGGGGAGGGGUUGACAGGGAUGAUUCGGAAGUGUAGGAUCAAACGGUUGACUCUUUCGGGGAGAAAAAGCCCUGAAGAGAAGACGCCCUGUGGAAACGCAGGGAGAGCGUCUCGGAUCAUUGACAACUAAAUAGGAGCAGCAACGUCCAAUUAAAGGGCCCUGAUCACGAAACACAGUAAUAAAAUGAAUCUGGAGAGUUUGAUCCUGGCUCAGAACGAACGCUGGCGGCGUGCCUAACACAUGCAAGU